Camelus dromedarius (Arabian camel) is the source of this 430-nucleotide long non-coding RNA. RefSeq lists it as uncharacterized. The record is from RefSeq and is a predicted model, not a curated record. The transcript has 2 exons. Lineage: Eukaryota; Metazoa; Chordata; Mammalia; Artiodactyla; Camelidae.
UUUGGCAGACGCCAAACAAACAGGGCAGCUCCCGAGCCGGCGUGUUCAGCGCGCUCGGGGAAUCCUCUGGGGGUGACUCGGAGGCUCAGACUCCGGCAUGGAAUGAUGGCCACAUGCCAUCCAGGAAACAGACAUCAAAGACACACAGGAGCACGUGGAGACAAACAGCGCCCCCUAUGAAAGCAAACUGCUGGAACUGCGCCGUGAGGCUUACCCGGACCUAAGAUGAGCGUUCCACCUUGCUGAGCUGGAUCUCCUUGGAAAUCAAAAAGGGGGCCAGUCACUGCCCGCCACAGGCUCCGAACGCUUCCUGAGAGUAUAUUUGACUUUAUAUGGGGGCUCUGUCCUGAAAUAUUAGAUAUUGUCUUUAGAUGUUAUCGUUUUAUAUUUGAUUAGCUAUUAAGAUAACAUUAGUACUUCUAGAAAACAA